Molecule: ribosomal RNA, 327 nt
Filed under: uncultured Chrysochromulina
Lineage: Eukaryota; Haptophyta; Prymnesiales; Chrysochromulinaceae
Description: bacterial SSU rRNA
Rfam family: Bacterial small subunit ribosomal RNA
Source: RNAcentral
UUUUUAACUUUAGUGGCGAACGGGUGCGUAAUACGUGAGAAUCUGCCCUUAGGAGAAGAAUAACUGCUGGAAACGGCUGCUAAAUCUUCAUAUGUCGAGAGAUGAAAUAGCUUAGGCUGCCUAAGGAUGAGCUCACGCCUGAUUAGCUAGUUGGUGAGGUAAUGGCUCACCAAGGCCACGAUCAGUAGCUGGUUUGAGAGAACGAUCAGCCACACUGGGACUGAGACACGGCCCAGACUCCUCCGGGAGGCAGCAGUGAGGAAUUUUCCGCAAUGGGCGAAAGCCUGACGGAGCAAUACCGCGUGAGGGAUGAAGGAUUUUGGUCUG